RNAcentral lists this unclassified non-coding RNA (348 nucleotides) under soil metagenome. RNAcentral describes it as "partial contains 5.8S ribosomal RNA, internal transcribed spacer 2, and large subunit ribosomal RNA". The stretch from base 1 to 120 matches the Rfam family "5.8S ribosomal RNA", at positions 35 to 154 of the family's 154-position model. The record is from RNAcentral.
GAUGAAGAACGCAGCGAAAUGCGAUAAGUAAUGUGAAUUGCAGAAUUCAGUGAAUCAUCGAAUCUUUGAACGCACAUUGCGCCCGCCAGUAUUCUGGCGGGCAUGCCUGUCUGAGCGUCAUUUCAACCCUCAUGCCCCUAGGGCGUGGUGUUGGGGAUCGGCCAAAGCCCGCGAGGGACGGCCGGCCCCUAAAUCUAGUGGCGGACCCGUCGUGGCCUCCUCUGCGAAGUAGUGAUAUUCCGCAUCGGAGAGCGAUGAGCCCCUGCCGUUAAACCCCCAACUUUCCAAGGUUGACCUCAGAUCAGGUAGGAAUACCCGCUGAACUUAAGCAUAUCAGUAAGCGGAGGA